RNAcentral lists this ribosomal RNA (447 nucleotides) under uncultured bacterium. RNAcentral describes it as "partial 16S ribosomal RNA". It matches the Rfam family "Bacterial small subunit ribosomal RNA", at positions 29 to 523 of the family's 1533-position model. The record is from RNAcentral.
AACGAACGCUGGCGGCAGGCUUAACACAUGCAAGUCGAGCGCCCCGCAAGGGGAGCGGCAGACGGGUGAGUAACGCGUGGGAAUCUACCCAUCUCUACGGAAUAACGCAUGGAAACGUGUACUAAUACCGUAUACGUCCUUCGGGAGAAAGAUUUAUCGGAGAUGGAUGAGCCCGCGUUGGAUUAGCUAGUUGGUGGGGUAAAGGCCUACCAAGGCGACGAUCCAUAGCUGGUCUGAGAGGAUGAUCAGCCACACUGGGACUGAGACACGGCCCAGACUCCUACGGGAGGCAGCAGUGGGGAAUAUUGGACAAUGGGCGCAAGCCUGAUCCAGCCAUGCCGCGUGAGUGAUGAAGGCCCUAGGGUUGUAAAGCUCUUUCACCGGUGAAGAUAAUGACGGUAACCGGAGAAGAAGCCCCGGCUAACUUCGUGCCAGCCGCCGCAGUAA